Molecule: long non-coding RNA, 729 nt
Organism: Mesocricetus auratus (golden hamster)
Lineage: Eukaryota; Metazoa; Chordata; Mammalia; Rodentia; Cricetidae
Exons: 2
Source: RefSeq, a predicted model, not a curated record
GUCCGAUUCCUAUGACUCAGCUCUCAGACCAGUGGACCGCACUCGCCCCUCCCGGCCCUCUUUGUCUUCCUCGCCUGUCUUGCCCCUUGAAUUGAGAGGGCUAUAAAGGAUCCCUGCGUGAUUUUUUUUUAAAGAAAAGUUUCGGCAUUGUAGCAUCUAUUUUGUUUGCUCUAAUUUUCGUGAGCACUCAAGUCAUACAACUAAUAUUUGCUCAGGGUAUGGUAAUUGGGAGUUUUAUGGAGUACACAGCCUCCCCCUUAACAAUUAAGUCAAAUUCAACUUCUGCUAUUGAGCGACAAUGAGGGUGUUAAUUUCCUUUUUCUUGUUUUCACCAAUUAAAAGUGGUUGCUAAUGAGAGCCAAGGAUUUCAGGGGAUCACAUUUCUUUAUCUCUACUAUCUGAAGAUUGAAACAAGCGCGAACUCGGUUUUGAGGGGAAGGUUUCGGCAAUGCAUGUGGACGAUUCAGGUAGAGAGGUGUGGGUUUCAAAAUGGCACCUGAGUCGCCGGAUGGCAUGGAGGAUGAAAGGAAGCUCCUGGGUUCCAAGAGAGAAGCAUAAUCUUAGCCUUGCUGCACUUCUGAACUCCUCGUGGUCUUAUUCUGCAAAGUAUUCCCAAGUGGCCCGCUAUGUACCAGACAAGGUGAUUACAGGCCAAGUUGCUUCCUUUCCUUGUGGACUCCUAUAGUCUCUUUGACUGAGGUAAAUUUAAUAAAACAAAAUACACCCGUU